This 510-nucleotide ribosomal RNA is filed under the name uncultured bacterium. RNAcentral's name for it is "bacterial SSU rRNA". It matches the Rfam family "Bacterial small subunit ribosomal RNA", at positions 19 to 518 of the family's 1533-position model. The record is from RNAcentral.
CUGGCUCAGGAUGAACGCUAGCUACAGGCUUAACACAUGCAAGUCGAGGGGCAGCAUGAAGUUUGCUUGCAAACUUUGAUGGCGACCGGCGCACGGGUGCGUAACACGUAUCCAACUUCCCACCGCUCAGGGAUAGCCUUCCGAAAGAAAGAUUAAUACCUGAUGGUCUCACAUGGGGACAUCCCUGUGUGAGUAAAGAUUUAUCGGCGUUGGAUGGGGAUGCGUCCGAUUAGGUAGCAGGCGGGGUAACGGCCCACCUGGCCUACGAUCGGUAGGGGUUCUGAGAGGAAGGUCCCCCCACACUGGAACUGAGACACGGUCCAGACUCCUACGGGAGGCAGCAGUGAGGAAUAUUGGUCAAUGGGCGGAAGCCUGAACCAGCCAAGUAGCGUGAGGGACGACGGCCCUACGGGUUGUAAACCUCUUUUGUUUGGGAAUAAAGUGCCGCACGUGUGCGGUUUUGCAUGUACCAUUCGAAUAAGCAUCGGCUAAUUCCGUGCCAGCCGCGGC